RNAcentral lists this ribosomal RNA (789 nucleotides) under uncultured Methanomicrobiales archaeon. Its description in RNAcentral is "bacterial SSU rRNA". It matches the Rfam family "Archaeal small subunit ribosomal RNA", at positions 85 to 879 of the family's 1478-position model. The record is from RNAcentral. Lineage: Archaea; Methanobacteriati; Methanobacteriota; Methanomicrobia; Methanomicrobiales.
ACKGCUCAGUAACACGUGGACAACCUACCCUAAGGAGGGGGAUAACCCCGGAAAACUGGGGAUAAUACCCCAUAGACUACAGAAGCUGGAAUGCUCUGUAAUCGAAAGGUCCGCCGCCUUAGGAUGGGUCUGCGGCUGAUUAGGUUGUUGUUGGGGUAACGGCCCAACAAGCCUGUAAUCAGUACGGGUUGUGGGAGCAAGAACCCGGAGAUGGAUUCUGAGACACGAAUCCAGGCCCUACGGGGCGCAGCAGGCGCGAAAACUUUACAAUGCGAGAAAUCGUGAUAAGGGAACCCCGAGUGCCCGUAAAUUCGGGCUGUUAAUCUGUGUAAAAAGCAGGUGGAGAAAGGGCCGGGCAAGACCGGUGCCAGCCGCCGCGGUAAUACCGGCGGCUCGAGUGGUGGCCACUAUUACUGGGCUUAAAGCGUCCGUAGCUGGAUUGUUAAGUCUCUUGGGAAAUCUACCGGCUUAACCGAUAGGCGUUCAAGGGAUACUGGCAAUCUAGGGACCGGAAGAGGUGAGAGGUACUCCAGGGGUAGGAGUGAAAUCCUGUAAUCCUUGGGGGACCACCUGUGGCGAAGGCGUCUCACCAGAACGGCUCCGACAGUGAGGGACGAAAGCUGGGGGAGCAAACCGGAUUAGAUACCCGGGUAGUCCCAGCUGUAAACGAUGUGCGUUAGGUGUAUCGGUGACCACGAGUCACCGAGGUGCCGAUGAGAAAUCGUGAAACGUACCGCCUGGGAAGUACGGUCGCAAGGCUGAAACUUAAAGGAAUUGGCGGGGGAGCAC